RNAcentral lists this ribosomal RNA (774 nucleotides) under uncultured Neocallimastigales. RNAcentral describes it as "partial large subunit ribosomal RNA". It matches the Rfam family "Eukaryotic large subunit ribosomal RNA", at positions 24 to 635 of the family's 3401-position model. Lineage: Eukaryota; Fungi; Neocallimastigomycota; Neocallimastigomycetes; Neocallimastigales. The record is from RNAcentral.
UAUGUGAUCGUCUCUCGCAUAUCAAUAAGCGGAGGAAAAGAAACUAACAAGGAUUCCCCUAGUAACGGCGAGUGAAGCGGGAAGAGCUCAAAUUUGAAAUCUUAAAGGGUUUCCCUUUACGAAUUGUAGUUUAAAGAAGUGUUUUCUGUUGAGGUUUUGGUAAAAGUUCUUUGGAAUAGGACAUCAUAGAGGGUGAGAAUCCCGUAUUUGACCUUUACUUUCAACUUUGUGAUACACUUUCAAAGAGUCGGAUUGUUUGGGAAUGCAGUCCAAAAUGGGUGGUAAAUUUCAUCUAAAGCUAAAUAUUGGCGAGAGACCGAUAGCGAACAAGUACCGUGAGGGAAAGAUGAAAAGAACUUUGAAAAGAGAGUUAAACAGUACGUGAAAUUGUCAAAAGGGAAGCGUUUGACACCAGUGUUGUUUUUCUGAAAAUCAAUUAAAGAACUGUUUGUGCUAAGUUGUUUAGACUUCAUCAGCUAACUGUUUAGUUUUGAGCUUUUCUUUAAUGCACUUUUCAGUUAACAAGUCAACAUCAAUUUCUUUUGCUGUAAAAAAGCUUGAGGAAGGUGGCUUGAGAUUCGUCUUAAGUGUUUAUAGCCUCUUGCCUAUGCAGUCGGAGAGAUUGAGGUCUGCAGCGUAGAUCCUUCGGGGCUAAAUGCAUUUGUGCUAAGUUAUAGCAUUUUAUAGACAACUUGUUGACUAUGAUUUGUCUUGUAGCUUACUCGCUUAUGUUAUUUUACCUACGCUUAGGAUGUUGAUCUACAGAGCGAGAGU